UUUCAACAGAAAGAAAGCUGCAGAGGUGUUCAAGUUUGGACCAGACGAAGAUGAAUUGACGUAGCAGUGAAUUUAUUAUAAAGAGUAUUUGUGGUUUUUUAAGCAUUGACAACGUCUGCCAUAUGAAGCAAAUAUACACACACAUACAUAAAUAUAUAAAUAUAUAAAUAAAUAUAUAUAUAUAUAUAUACAGCUAAAACCUUAAACUCUGAGCGCGAAAAGGGC
Paramuricea clavata is the source of this 225-nucleotide non-coding RNA. NCBI's taxonomy places the organism in Eukaryota, Metazoa, Cnidaria, Anthozoa, Malacalcyonacea, Plexauridae. The record is from the annotation of a GenBank genome assembly.